Molecule: transfer RNA, 70 nt
Filed under: Salmo salar (Atlantic salmon)
Lineage: Eukaryota; Metazoa; Chordata; Actinopteri; Salmoniformes; Salmonidae
Rfam family: tRNA
About the family: Transfer RNA (tRNA) molecules are approximately 80 nucleotides in length.
Source: Rfam by way of RNAcentral
CCCCGUGUGGUACAGUUGGUAGAGCAUGGUGUUUGCAACGCCAGGGUUGUGAGUUCAAUUCCCACGGGGG